CUUUUUGUAAAUAAUUUAAAGUUUAAUCUGCCCACUGAUNAAAUUAUUAAAGGGCUGCAGUAUUUUGACUGUACAAAGGUAGCAUAAUCAUUAGUCUCUUAAUUGGUGACUUGUAUGAAAGAUUGGAUGAGAUAUAUACUGUCUCUAUUUAAUUUAUAAAAUUUAAUUUUUUAGUAAAAAAGCUAAAAUGUUUUUAAAAGACGAGAAGACCCUAUAGAGUUUAAUAAUUUAUUUAAUUAUUAUUAAUAUAUAAAUCUUAAAAUUAAAAUUAAAUAAGUUAUUUUGUUGGGGUGAUAAAAAAAUUAAAUUAACUUUUUUUUUAUUUUAUACAUUAAUUUAUGAAUAAAUGAUCCAUUAAUAGUGAUUAAAAGAAAAAAUUACCUUAGGGAUAACAGCGUAAUUUUUUUUUUUAGUUCAAAUAGGAAAAAAAGUUUGCGACCUCGAUGUUGGAUUAAGAUAAAAUUUAAAUGCAAAA
Molecule: ribosomal RNA, 475 nt
Filed under: Papilio pericles
Lineage: Eukaryota; Metazoa; Arthropoda; Insecta; Lepidoptera; Papilionidae
Description: partial 16S ribosomal RNA
Source: RNAcentral